AGCAGCCGCGGUAAUUCCAGCUCCAAUAGCGUAUAUUAAAGUUGUUGCAGUUAAAAAGCUCGUAGUUGAAUUUCGGGAUCAAUAUGUUGGUCGUGUCUUGGUACGUACUGGCAUUAUCGAUUCCUACCUUCUGAAGAACCUCGAUGUCAUUAAUUUGGUGUCUUGGGGAAUCAGGACUGUUACUUUGAAAAAUUAGAGUGUUUAAAGCAAGCUAACGCUUGAAUACAUUAGCAUGGAAUAAUGAAAUAGGACGUUCGAUCCUAUUUUGUUGGUUUCUAGGAUUGACGUAAUGAUUAAUAGGGAUAGUUGGGGGCAUUAGUAUUCAAUUGUCAGAGGUGAAAUUCUUGGAUUUAUUGAAGACUAACUACCGCGAAAGCAUUUGCCAAGGAUGUUUUCAUUAAUACAAGAACGAAAGUUAGGGGAUCGAAGACGAUCAGAAUCCGUGUAGUCUUAACCAUAAACUAUAGCCGACUAGGGAUCGGAUGAUGUUAAUUUU
Molecule: ribosomal RNA, 496 nt
Filed under: uncultured Glomus
Lineage: Eukaryota; Fungi; Glomeromycota; Glomeromycetes; Glomerales; Glomeraceae
Description: SSU rRNA
Rfam family: Eukaryotic small subunit ribosomal RNA
Source: RNAcentral